CGUGAACCUUUACUAUAGCUUGACACUGAACAUUGAGCCUUGAUGUGUAGGAUAGGUGGGAGGCUUUGAAGUGUGGACGCCAGUCUGCAUGGAGCCGACCUUGAAAUACCACCCUUUAAUGUUUGAUGUUCUAACGUUGACCCGUAAUCCGGGUUGCGGACAGUGUCUGGUGGGUAGUUUGACUGGGGCGGUCUCCUCCUAAAGAGUAACGGAGGAGCACGAAGGUUGGCUAAUCCUGGUCGGACAUCAGGAGGUUAGUGCAAUGGCAUAAGCCAGCUUGACUGCGAGCGUGACGGCGCGAGCAGGUGCGAAAGCAGGUCAUAGUGAUCCGGUGGUUCUGAAUGGAAGGGCCAUCGCUCAACGGAUAAAAGGUACUCCGGGGAUAACAGGCUGAUACCGCCCAAGAGUUCAUAUCGACGGCGGUGUUUGGCACCUCGAUGUCGGCUCAUCACAUCCUGGGGCUGAAGUAGGUCCCAAGGGUAUGGCUGUUCGCCAUUUAAAGUGGUACGCGAGCUGGGUUUAGAACGUCGUGAGACAGUUCGGUCCCUAUCUGCCGUGGGCGCUGGAGAACUGAGGGGGGCUGCUCCUAGUACGAGAGGACCGGAGUGGACGCAUCACUGGUGUUCGGGUUGUCAUGCCAAUGGCACUGCCCGGUAGCUAAAUGCGGAAGAGAUAAGUGCUGAAAGCAUCUAAGCACGAAACUUGCCCCGAGAUGAGUUCUCCCUGACUCCUUGAGAGUCCUGAAGGAACGUUGAAG
RNAcentral lists this ribosomal RNA (757 nucleotides) under Escherichia coli. Its description in RNAcentral is "partial 23S ribosomal RNA". It matches the Rfam family "Bacterial large subunit ribosomal RNA", at positions 2092 to 2843 of the family's 2925-position model. The record is from RNAcentral. Lineage: Bacteria; Pseudomonadati; Pseudomonadota; Gammaproteobacteria; Enterobacterales; Enterobacteriaceae.